CCUGGAUCCAGCCAUGCCGCGGUGAGUGAUGAAGGCCCUAGGGUUGUAAAGCUCUUUCACCGGUGAAGAUAAUGACGGUAACCGGAGAAGAAGCCCCGGCUAACUUCGUGCCAGCAGCCGCGGUAAUACGAAGGGGGCUAGCGUUGUUCGGAUUUACUGGGCGUAAAGCGCACGUAGGCGGACUUUUAAGUCAGGGGUGAAAUCCCGGGGCUCAACCCCGGAACUGCCUUUGAUACUGGAAGUCUUGAGUAUGGUAGAGGUGAGUGGAAUUCCGAGUGUACAGGUGAAAUUC
Molecule: ribosomal RNA, 292 nt
Filed under: uncultured Ochrobactrum sp.
Lineage: Bacteria; Pseudomonadati; Pseudomonadota; Alphaproteobacteria; Hyphomicrobiales; Brucellaceae
Description: partial 16S ribosomal RNA
Rfam family: Bacterial small subunit ribosomal RNA
Source: RNAcentral